RNAcentral lists this long non-coding RNA (1092 nucleotides) under Heterocephalus glaber (naked mole-rat). RNAcentral's name for it is "lncRNA (ENSHGLG00000038860.1)". Lineage: Eukaryota; Metazoa; Chordata; Mammalia; Rodentia; Bathyergidae. The record is from RNAcentral.
UGCUUAUGAAAGGGAUGUGAUGUGGAUCGGGGCCAGAAGGUGUCUAGGAGGAGGAUCUAGUGUUUUCUCAUGGAUGAAAUCACACACAAAGCCUAAGUUGACGAAACUGGAGUCAAACUUGUGACCCUCCUGCCUCAGCCUUCAAGACUGCUGGAAUUACAGAGCUGUGCCACCAUGCCUGGCUAAAUCCACACGUUCAAACCAGUCAUUCUCACAGAACUGCUUAUCGCGAAGUCCCCAAAGACCACCAAGGAGCCGAUUCCGAUGCAAACACACGAGGGUCAUUUAUUCAAGCUUGAGCAGAGGCUCCCAACCGUCACCGACGCAGCGGAUCAGAAUUGAGAGCCCCGAAUUUCAAAUUAGCGGGGUUUUUAUAGAGGUUACAGCAAGGUUUGGAGAUUUUUCACUUAGCAGUUACAUGAUUGGUUAACAUUUAGCAAGCAUGAAGUGUACAUUUCUGAUUGGCUAGGUUCAUCGUGGGGGUUGAGGGGCGGUUACAUGUAGGUUUUACGAGGGAAAGGAGGGACAAAGGUUAGUGGUCAACUGUCACGUACUGAUGGUCAGCAGACACACUGACUAUUAGUCACGACCAUUACGUACUGACAGUCAGCACAUCUACAGAUUGUUCUAUGGAUAGGGGGCCCCGGACGUUCUUUUCCUAGGUACACAGAGGGUUGAGUAAUUAACUUAGGAACUUUGCUUCGUUACAGAUUGUGUCUUUUGUCCCAGAGCAGGCACAUUUUAACCAUUAAUUUGUGAGGACAAUAGAGACUAGGGGAAUAGUGGAUUUUAGCAAAAUGGAGUCGCUUUGGUCUCACAUAAUCUAUAUCUACACUUCAUAUUUUAUGAAUUGAUAUGUGAAUAACAACAGGCUGGACAAGGCAAUGCAGUGCUAUAAUCCCAGCACUCUGGGCAGCCGAGGAAGGGGAUAGUAUGCUCCAGUAGAGCCUGGACAGUUUAUCAAAAGCCUGCCUCAAAAAAGUUUACAAGAGAGAAAAAAAUUUAAAAGUCUGGAGAUGUAACUCAGUGCAAAGGACCUGCGUCUAAGCCUCAGCACCACAAGAAAAAAUAAAUUGACAGAAUGUUUACAAC